This 468-nucleotide ribosomal RNA is filed under the name uncultured bacterium. Its description in RNAcentral is "partial 16S ribosomal RNA". It matches the Rfam family "Bacterial small subunit ribosomal RNA", at positions 28 to 507 of the family's 1533-position model. The record is from RNAcentral.
GACGAACGCUGGCGGCGUGCUUAACACAUGCAAGUCGAACGGAAAGGCCCUGCUUUUGUGGGGUGCUCGAGUGGCGAACGGGUGAGUAACACGUGAGUAACCUGCCCUUGACUUUGGGAUAACUUCAGGAAACUGGGGCUAAUACCGGGUAGGAGCUCCUGCUGCAUGGUGGGGGUUGGAAAGUUUCGGCGGUUGGGGAUGGACUCGCGGCUUAUCAGCUUGUUGGUGGGGUAGUGGCUUACCAAGGCUUUGACGGGUAGCCGGCCUGAGAGGGUGACCGGCCACAUUGGGACUGAGAUACGGCCCAGACUCCUACGGGCGGCAGCAGUGGGGAAUCUUGCACAAUGGGCGGAAGCCUGAUGCAGCAACGCCGCGUGCGGGAUGACGGCCUUCGGGUUGUAAACCGCUUUCGCCUGUGACGAAGCGUGAGUGACGGUAAUGGGUAAAGAAGCACCGGCUAACUACGUG